This is a long non-coding RNA of Sapajus apella (tufted capuchin), 473 nucleotides long. RefSeq lists it as uncharacterized. The record is from RefSeq and is a predicted model, not a curated record. The transcript is spliced from 2 exons. NCBI's taxonomy places the organism in Eukaryota, Metazoa, Chordata, Mammalia, Primates, Cebidae.
CUUUGUUGCCCUCAAAACUGGGCUCUGUCUUCCUUCGCAAACAAUCCCAUUGAGAUCUGGGGUUCAAGCUGCCAUCAGAAGAAUUCUCUGCCUCUGGAUACUUCUCCCUGGCCAGAGACAGGUGAUUGUGCCAUGAAAUCACUGGGUGCCAGAAGGCCUGCAGACCAUGUUGGAGGAGCCUCUCACUUGCCUGCUGCAUCACUGAGUAUUUCCUGAGUGUCAAGAAAGACGAUGCUGGGAAUAGUCCCUCCUUGCCCAGAUCUCUUAAAAGCCAGAGAGCUCAUAGCAUCCUGUCUCCUCCAGAAGCUCUUCCCCAGCUGAAAUGUAAAUGAAGGGCUAUUAGUCUGCUCCUCAACCACCCACCUCCAUGGUCCCUGACAGUGUGAAUGAGCUCCUCACAGCCAGGAUUUUUUUCUCCAGUGAAAAGUAGCAAUUUCUCCUACACUGAAAAUUUCCUGAAUAAAAAAAUUCAU